Molecule: ribosomal RNA, 301 nt
Filed under: uncultured bacterium
Lineage: Bacteria
Description: partial 16S ribosomal RNA
Rfam family: Bacterial small subunit ribosomal RNA
Source: RNAcentral
CAGCCGCCACGGUAAUACGUAGGUGGCAAGCGUUGUCCGGAAUUAUUGGGCGUAAAGCGCGCGCAGGCGGAUAGGUCAGUCUGUCUUAAAAGUUCGGGGCUUAACCCCGUGAUGAGAUGGAAACUGCCAAUCUAGAGUAUCGGAGAGGAAAGUGGAAUUCCUAGUGUAGCGGUGAAAUGCGUAGAUAUUAGGAAGAGCACCAGUGGCGAAGGCGACUUUCUGGACGAAAACUGACGCUGAGGCGCGAAAGCCAGGGGAGCGAACGGGAUUAGAUACCCGAGUAGUCCCUGUCUCUUAUACA